This 248-nucleotide long non-coding RNA is filed under the name Homo sapiens (human). RNAcentral describes it as "non-protein coding lnc-NAA38-6:1". Lineage: Eukaryota; Metazoa; Chordata; Mammalia; Primates; Hominidae. The record is from RNAcentral.
GGAGACAGGGACAGACAGCCCGAAAGGAGCCGAGGGAGGUGCAAAGAACGCCGGGGCGAACGAGGAGGAAACGUUAGGAAUGGGAAGGGUUUUGGUGCACAUCAAAGAGCAGGAAUUCACGCGAAGAAGGGGCGUGAUGGCCCAGAAGAAUCACCUGGGCCGUCCGGGGCUUCCCCGCAGUGCCCUCCUCCGCCACCAACAGCAGCUGGGCCCGGGCGGGAGAAGCCUUGGGAAGGGGCGCUGGUACC